Molecule: ribosomal RNA, 482 nt
Filed under: uncultured bacterium
Lineage: Bacteria
Description: partial 16S ribosomal RNA
Rfam family: Bacterial small subunit ribosomal RNA
Source: RNAcentral
AUUGAACGCUGGCGGCAUGCCUUACACAUGCAAGUCGAACGGUAACAGGUCUUCGGAUGCUGACGAGUGGCGAACGGGUGAGUAAUACAUCGGAACGUGCCCGAUCGUGGGGGAUAACGGAGCGAAAGCUUUGCUAAUACCGCAUACGAUCUACGGAUGAAAGCAGGGGACCGCAAGGCCUUGCGCGGACGGAGCGGCCGAUGGCAGAUUAGGUAGUUGGUGGGAUAAAAGCUUACCAAGCCGACGAUCUGUAGCUGGUCUGAGAGGACGACCAGCCACACUGGGACUGAGACACUGCCCAGACUCCUACGGGAGGCAGCAGUGGGGAAUUUUGGACAAUGGGCGAAAGCCUGAUCCAGCCAUGCCGCGUGCAGGAUGAAGGCCUUCGGGUUGUAAACUGCUUUUGUACGGAACGAAAAGACUCUUUCUAAUAAAGAGGGUCCAUGACGGUACCGUAAGAAUAAGCACCGGCUAACUACGUG